RNAcentral lists this transfer RNA (76 nucleotides) under Pseudomonadota bacterium. Its description in RNAcentral is "Proteobacteria bacterium tRNA-Pro". It matches the Rfam family "tRNA". From Rfam's summary of the family: Transfer RNA (tRNA) molecules are approximately 80 nucleotides in length. Their secondary structure includes four short double-helical elements and three loops (D, anti-codon, and T loops). The record is from RNAcentral. Lineage: Bacteria; Pseudomonadati; Pseudomonadota.
CGGGGCGUAGCGCAGUUGGUAGCGCGCGUGCUUUGGGAGCAUGAGGUCGCAGGUUCGAAUCCUGUCGCCCCGACCA